RNAcentral lists this ribosomal RNA (496 nucleotides) under uncultured bacterium. Its description in RNAcentral is "partial 16S ribosomal RNA". It matches the Rfam family "Bacterial small subunit ribosomal RNA", at positions 30 to 523 of the family's 1533-position model. The record is from RNAcentral.
AUUGAACGCUGGCGGAAUGCUUUACACAUGCAAGUCGAACGGUAGAGGGGGCAACCCCUCGAGAGUGGCGAACGGGUGAGUAAUAUAUCGGAACGUGCCCAGUCGUGGGGGAUAACGUAGCGAAAGUUACGCUAAUACCGCAUACGAUCUAAGGAUGAAAGCGGGGGAUCGCAAGACCUCGCGCGAUUGGAGCGGCCGAUAUCAGAUUAGGUAGUUGGUGGGGUAAAGGCUCACCAAGCCAACGAUCUGUAGCUGGUCUGAGAGGACGACCAGCCACACUGGAACUGAGACACGAUCCAGACUCCUGCGGGAGGAAGCAGUGGGGAAUUUUGGACAAUGGCCGCAAGUCUGAUCCAGCCAUUCCGCAUGCAGGAUGAAGGCCCUCGGGUUGUAAACUGCUUUUGUACGGAACGAAAAGGUCUCUCUUAAUACGGGGGGCUCAUGACGGUACCGUAAGAAUAAGCACCGGCUAACUACGUGCCAGCCGCCGCCGUAA